GCCGCCGCGGUAAUACGGAGGAUGCGAGCGUUAUCCGGAUUUAUUGGGUUUAAAGGGUGCGUAGGCGGCGCGUCAAGCCGGUGGUAAAAUUGCGGGGCUCAACCCCGUAGAGCCAUCGGAACUGGCGUGCUUGAGUGGAGAAGAAGUAUGCGGAAUGCGAGGUGUAGCGGUGAAAUGCAUAGAUAUCGCGCAGAACUCCGAUUGCGAAGGCAGCGUACUAUUCUCCAACUGACGCUGAGGCACGAAAGCGUGGGGAUCGAACAGGAUUAGAUACCCC
Molecule: ribosomal RNA, 277 nt
Filed under: uncultured Christensenellaceae bacterium
Lineage: Bacteria; Bacillati; Bacillota; Clostridia; Christensenellales; Christensenellaceae
Description: partial 16S ribosomal RNA
Rfam family: Bacterial small subunit ribosomal RNA
Source: RNAcentral